UACGUAGGGUGCGAGCGUUGUCCGGAAUUAUUGGGCGUAAAGAGCUCGUAGGCGGUGUGUCGCGUCGGUCGUGAAAACUUGGGGCUUAACUCUGAGCUUGCGGUCGAUACGGGCAGACUUGAGUUCGGCAGGGGAGACUGGAAUUCCUGGUGUAGCGGUGAAAUGCGCAGAUAUCAGGAGGAACACCGGUGGCGAAGGCGGGUCUCUGGGCCGACACUGACGCUGAGGAGCGAAAGCGUGGGGAGCGAACAGG
Molecule: ribosomal RNA, 253 nt
Filed under: uncultured bacterium
Lineage: Bacteria
Description: partial 16S ribosomal RNA
Rfam family: Bacterial small subunit ribosomal RNA
Source: RNAcentral